UGGCGAUACAAUACGGUAAACAUCUAUCCUAUGUGGACUCGACGUAACAGGAGGUAAAGGCCCGGUCGAGCUGGAACGACUUUCGAGUGCCGAAUAUUUUGAGAGCCAAUAAUUAAUAAAUUAGAAAAAAGGAAGAACUGGAGUGGCAAUAAGCCACUGCAAUUUGUGAAAGAGGCCUUUAUCAACGAAUGCUCUCCUUGAGGCUGGUGUCUUGCAGAUUUCUCAAACAGCCAUAGACAGUUUGUGUGGCCAUGUUUGUUGAUCACGAUUUGAGUCUUGUUUCAGCAGAUAUUAACCCUUUAAUCUGCCUUGGAUUCUAGAGUGAAUCUAUUGUUGAAAUAUACAAGCAAAUACUGGUAGUUGUGCUUUAAAGGCACAAUUGCUACAGCUGAUUCAUUUGACAAAGUUUGCUGUUUCCCUUCAUUUAUUUGAAACUGACAUCUUCAAAUUGAUUGAGCCUAGCUGAACUUUGUGGAUAAAUCUAGUAGAAUUGGCUUGGGUACCACAUUCCCUUGCAGCUGUAGUAUCAGGAUUAGUCAGCUGCUUAUGGGAAAGAAUGCGGAAUCCUUCUUGUGCUCAAGUUAAUGUUAUAGAAAUGACAACUUUGACAGAGAGUCAAAAUAUUGACUGUGAAACAGGAAGAAAUCUGGAUCGGCCAUGUUCGAAGAAACCUAAUUUAAAGAAUCAGAUAUUUGGAUCAUCGUUGAAAGAUUUAAGAGAAAGAAAUGACAAAUAUAAAAGUGCAGUACCUUAUGUUUUGUAUCGACUUUGUACUUUCAUAGAAAUGAA
Molecule: long non-coding RNA, 789 nt
Filed under: Androctonus crassicauda
Lineage: Eukaryota; Metazoa; Arthropoda; Arachnida; Scorpiones; Buthidae
Source: RNAcentral